RNAcentral lists this ribosomal RNA (426 nucleotides) under uncultured bacterium. RNAcentral describes it as "partial 16S ribosomal RNA". It matches the Rfam family "Bacterial small subunit ribosomal RNA", at positions 354 to 796 of the family's 1533-position model. The record is from RNAcentral.
GUGAGGAAUUUUCCGCAAUGGGCGAAAGCCUGACGGAGCAAUGCCGCGUGAAGGAUGAAGACCUAUGGGUUGUAAACUUCUUUUCUCAGAAAAGAAUUAUGACGGUAUCUGAGGAAUAAGCAUCGGCUAACUCUGUGCCAGCAGCCGCGGUAAGACAGAGGAUGCAAGCGUUAUCCGGAAUGAUUGGGCGUAAAGCGUCUGUAGGUUGUUUAAAAAGUAUUCUGUCAAAGAUUAGGGCUUAACCCUAGAUAGGCAGAAUAAACUUUUAAGCUAGAGUUUGGUAGAGGCAGAGGGAAUUCCCGGUGGAGCGGUGAAAUGCGUAGAUAUCGGGAGGAACACCAAAGGCGAAGGCACUCUGCUGGGCCAAUACUAACACUGAGAGACGAAAGCGAGGGGAGCAAAUGGGAUUAGAAACCCCGGUAGUCC